UACGAAGGGGUCUAGCGUUGCUCGGAAUUACUGGGCGUAAAGCGCACGCAGGCGGUUUGUUAAGUCAGAUGUGAAAUCCCCGAGCUUAACUUGGGAACUGCAUUUGAAACUGGCAAGCUAGAGUCUUGUAGAGGGGGGUAGAAUUCCAGGUGUAGCGGUGAAAUGCGUAGAGAUCUGGAGGAAUACCGGUGGCGAAGGCGGCCCCCUGGACAAAGACUGACGCUCAGGUGCGAAAGCGUGGGGAGCAAACAGG
RNAcentral lists this ribosomal RNA (253 nucleotides) under uncultured bacterium. RNAcentral describes it as "partial 16S ribosomal RNA". It matches the Rfam family "Bacterial small subunit ribosomal RNA", at positions 524 to 776 of the family's 1533-position model. The record is from RNAcentral.